CCUACGGGAGGCAGCAGUGGGGAAUAUUGCGCAAUGGGCGAAAGCCUGACGCAGCGACGCCGCGUGAGGGAUGAAGGUCUUCGGAUCGUAAACCUCUGUCAGCAGGGAAGAACGGUCACUGUGCUAAUCAGCAGUGAAUUGACGGUACCUGCAAAGGAAGCACCGGCUAACUCCGUGCCAGCAGCCGCGGUAAUACGGAGGGUGCGAGCGUUAAUCGGAAUUACUGGGCGUAAAGCGCUCGUAGGCGGUAUGUCAAGUCAAGGGUGAAAUCCCCGCGCUCAACGUGGGAACUGCCUUUGAAACUGGCAAACUGGAGUGUGUGAGAGGAUAGUGGAAUUCCAGGUGUAGGAGUGAAAGCCGUAGAUAUCUGGAGGAACAUCAGUGGCGAAGGCGACUAUCUGGCACAUAACUGACGCUGAGGAGCGAAAGCGUGGGUAGCAAACAGGAUUAGAUACCCUAGUAAUC
RNAcentral lists this ribosomal RNA (465 nucleotides) under uncultured bacterium. Its description in RNAcentral is "partial 16S ribosomal RNA". It matches the Rfam family "Bacterial small subunit ribosomal RNA", at positions 338 to 795 of the family's 1533-position model. The record is from RNAcentral.